GGUCGCAUAGUCUAAUGGUAGAACACCUCGUUUACAUCGAGAAGACCCUGGUCCGAUUCCAGGUACGACCA
Molecule: transfer RNA, 71 nt
Filed under: archaeon
Lineage: Archaea
Also listed under: 1 other name
Description: tRNA-Val
Rfam family: tRNA
About the family: Transfer RNA (tRNA) molecules are approximately 80 nucleotides in length. Their secondary structure includes four short double-helical elements and three loops (D, anti-codon, and T loops).
Source: RNAcentral